UACGAAGGGGGCUAGCGUUGUUCGGAAUCACUGGGCGUAAAGCGCAUGUAGGCGGGCUAUUAAGUCGGGGGUGAAAUCCCAGGGCUCAACCCUGGAACUGCCUUCGAUACUGAUGGUCUGGAGUAUGGAAGAGGUUGGUGGAACUGCGAGUGUAGAGGUGAAAUUCGUAGAUAUUCGCAAGAACACCAGUGGCGAAGGCGGCCAACUGGUCCAUUACUGACGCUGAGAUGCGAAAGCGUGGGGAGCAAACAGG
Molecule: ribosomal RNA, 253 nt
Filed under: uncultured bacterium
Lineage: Bacteria
Description: partial 16S ribosomal RNA
Rfam family: Bacterial small subunit ribosomal RNA
Source: RNAcentral